ACUGCUCAGUAACACGUGGACAACCUGCCCAAAGGUCCGGGAUAACCCCGGGAAACUGGGGAUAAUACCGGAUAAAUCACAAGUACUGGAAGGUUUUGUGGUUGAAACUUCCGGGGCCUUUGGAUGGGUCUGCGGCGGAUUAGGUUGUUGCCGGUGUAACGUACCGUCAAGCCUGUAAUCCGUACGGGUUGUGGGAGCAAGAGCCCGGAGAUGGAUUCUGAGACACGAAUCCAGGCCCUACGGGGCGCAGCAGGCGCGAAAACUCUACAAUGCAGGCAACUGCGAUAGGGGAACAUCGAGUGAUACUCAUCUUGGGUGUCUGUCCUCCCGUCUAAAAAACGGGAGUUAGCAAGGGCCGGGCAAGACCGGUGCCAGCCGCCGCGGUAAUACCGGCGGCUCGAGUGGUGGCCGAUAUUAUUGAGUCUAAAGGGUCCGUAGCCGGCUUUGCAAGUCUUUUGGGAAAUCCAGCGGCUUAACCGUUGGUCGUCCGGGGGGUACUACAUUGCUUGGGACUGGGAGAGGUAGGAGGUACUCAGGGGGUAGGAGUGAAAUCCUGUAAUCCUUUGGGGACCACCGGUGGCGAAGGCGUCCUACCAGAACAGGUCCGACGGUGAGGGACGAAAGCUAGGGGCACGAACCGGAUUAGAUACCCGGGUAGUCCUAGCCGUAAACGAUGCUCGCUAGGUGUCACAACAGUCGUGAACUGUUGUGGUGCCGUAGGGAAGCCGUGAAGCGAGCCACUUGGGAAGUACGACCGCAAGGGUUGAAACUUAAAGGAAUUGGCGGGGGAGCAC
Molecule: ribosomal RNA, 794 nt
Filed under: uncultured archaeon
Lineage: Archaea
Description: bacterial SSU rRNA
Rfam family: Archaeal small subunit ribosomal RNA
Source: RNAcentral